CGUCGCAAGCUUACCCUGUGAAGGCCCCACAGUAAGCAAAAUGGGCAAACCCCAGAACGUCAGGUCGAGGUGUAGCUCACGAGGUGGAAAGAAAUGGGCUACAUUUUCUGCAACAGAAUAUCACGAAUAACACUAUGAAACUGGUGUUUGAAGGUGGAUUUAGUAGUAAAAAACAAACAGAGCGUGUUUUUGAACCAGGCUCUGAGACGCGCACACACCGCCCGUCACUCUCCCCGAGACAAUACAAACAAGUAAAUAACCAAAAACACAAUAAAAAGGGGAGGCAAGUCGUAACAU
RNAcentral lists this ribosomal RNA (297 nucleotides) under Ichthyoelephas longirostris. RNAcentral's name for it is "partial small subunit ribosomal RNA". It matches the Rfam family "Bacterial small subunit ribosomal RNA", at positions 1050 to 1494 of the family's 1533-position model. The record is from RNAcentral. Lineage: Eukaryota; Metazoa; Chordata; Actinopteri; Characiformes; Prochilodontidae.